Molecule: transfer RNA, 70 nt
Filed under: Culex quinquefasciatus (southern house mosquito)
Lineage: Eukaryota; Metazoa; Arthropoda; Insecta; Diptera; Culicidae
Rfam family: tRNA
About the family: Transfer RNA (tRNA) molecules are approximately 80 nucleotides in length. Their secondary structure includes four short double-helical elements and three loops (D, anti-codon, and T loops).
Source: Rfam by way of RNAcentral
GGGUGGCUGACUGGUUACGGUAUUCGCUUUGUAAGCGAAUGGUUCUGGGUUCGAAUCCCAAUUGCACCCA